This 77-nucleotide transfer RNA is filed under the name Bacteroidota bacterium. RNAcentral's name for it is "Bacteroidetes bacterium tRNA-Met". It matches the Rfam family "tRNA". Rfam says of the family: Transfer RNA (tRNA) molecules are approximately 80 nucleotides in length. Their secondary structure includes four short double-helical elements and three loops (D, anti-codon, and T loops). The record is from RNAcentral. Lineage: Bacteria; Pseudomonadati; Bacteroidota. RNAcentral also lists the same sequence under 1 other name.
GGCGGGGUAGCUCAGGUGGUUAGAGCGUCGGAUUCAUAACCCGAAGGUCACGAGUUCAACUCUCGUCCCCGCUACAA